CCCCUAUCCGGGUCUGCCUAAAACCCUAGUUGUCUCUGCUUUUCUCACCCUCUAUUCCUAUGUAUCAUCAUCACUAAACCCUAGCUACUCCAGUUUUAAGCGUGUCCUUUUGUACUGUUUGUAAUUGGAGAAAAUGGAAGGGGAUGCAGAAGAGAGGCAGAUUCAAGCACGAUUCGUUACAAAACUGAAAACUCCAUACAAAGUCCCAGCAACUGCCAUUACCAUCCCAGCUAAUCUCACCCGUCUCGGCCUCUCCACCAUCGUCAGUAGCCUCCUCAAUGCCGGGAAUCCUGAUUGGGAGAAUCAACCAUUUGAUUUUCUUAUUGAUGGAGAGCUUGUUCGAAUGUCACUUGAGCAGUUUCUUCUUGCUAAGGGCAUUUCCGCGGAGAAGAUAAUAGAAAUUGAAUACAUUAAGGCAGUUGUCCCUCGGAAACAGGAGGAGCCUUCUUUGCAUGAUGACUGGGUCAGUGCAGCUGAUGGUUCUUGUCCUCGGUUCAUUUUGACAGGGUGCUAUGAUGGUCUUGGAAGGGUGUGGAAAGCUGCUGGCCUAUGUACACAUAUGCUAGAGGGACACAGUGAUGCAAUUACUUCUGUUAGUAUCAUUUUCUCAGGAGCUGAGGAUAGUUUUACGGUAGCCACUGCCUCAAAAGAUCAAACUCUCAGGCUUUGGAAGUUUGAUACAGAAGAACCUGAAAAUUCUCCUGCAAACAUUAGGGCUUUCAAAAUUUUGCGUGGGCAUAAUGCAUCUGUGCAAAGUGUUGCUGCUGAAACUUCUGGAAGCAUGAUUUGUUCGGGUUCUUGGGAUUGUACGAUCAAUUUAUGGAAGACGGAUGAGUCCGAUACAGAAGGUGAUUUAGUGUCAAUUAAGAAGAGAAAAGUGAAAAACAAAGCCAAGGAAUCUCAGUUGGAGGGGGAGGCUAUGUCCACACUUGUGGGCCAUACACAACGUGUAUCCUCUGUUGUUUGGCCAGAACAUGAAACAAUCUACUCUGCAUCAUGGGAUCACUCUAUCAGACGUUGGGAUGUUGAGACAGGCAAAGAUUCAGCAAAAAUAUUCUGUGGAAAAGCUCUCAACUACCUUCAUGUUGGAGGUGAAGGUUCAGCUCUCAUUGCUGCUGGGGCCUCUGACCCCAUCCUUAGGAUAUGGGAUCCACGAAAACCAGGAACUUCUGCUCCUAUUUAUCAGUUCUGUUCUCACACUUCUUGGGUUUCGGCUUGCAAGUGGCAUGAUAAAUCUUGGUUUCAUUUACUUUCUGCAUCCUAUGAUGGGAAAGUUAUGUUGUGGGAUCUAAGAACUGCGGUAGUUGGCCUCUGGCUGUUAUUGAAUCACACGAAGACAAGGUGCUAUGUGUUGAUUGGUGGAGGGGUGACAAUUUAGUCAGUGGUGGGGUUGACUGCAAGCUAUGCAUUUCUUCUGAUUCUUCUGUGCAGUAAGGGAAGAAUUAUAGAGAUAGAUGGAAGUAACUUCUGGAGAAGAUGUUUUUGAUACUGAAGGAACAUUUUCUGUCUCGGCCUUGUUAACUCAAGCGAGAUGGGGAAACCUGAUUCUGCAUCAACUGCGGAGCUGAAGCUGAUUGAAGAGUUUAAACUCUAGUCAAUUUUGUUCAAGACGCUUUGAUGUAAUGUGAAUAGUAGCAACCCUGAUUUAGUGUUUUUUUUUUUUUUUGGCUGGGGUGCUUCUGAGAGUACGGUGGAUCACUGAGCCAAGAAUUUUUUGAUAAAAUUAUAUAUACCGAGAGAAAUUGAUUUGUUAGGUUUUAGUUUUGGUGGAAAAUUGAUUUGUAGAAAUGGAAAAUUAGACUUCAGCACAAGUGUUAUGCAUUUGGUGGCUGUGUCUUUUUCUUUUUGUUGAUGAUGAAUUAAUGAUGGAUAUUAACAUAA
Molecule: RNA transcript, 1881 nt
Organism: Hevea brasiliensis (rubber tree)
Lineage: Eukaryota; Viridiplantae; Streptophyta; Magnoliopsida; Malpighiales; Euphorbiaceae
Gene name: ribosome biogenesis protein WDR12 homolog
Exons: 14
Source: RefSeq, a predicted model, not a curated record